CCUACGGGAGGCAGCAGUGAGGAAUAUUGGUCAAUGGACGAGAGUCUGAACCAGCCAAGUAGCGUGAAGGAUGACUGCCCUAUGGGUUGUAAACUUCUUUUAUAAAGGAAUAAAACGAGGCACGUGUGCCUUUUUGCAUGUACUUUAUGAAUAAGGAUCGGCUAACUCCGUGCCAGCAGCCGCGGUAAUACGGAGGAGCCGAGCGUUAUCCGGAUUUAUUGGGUUUAAAGGGAGCGUAGAUGGGUUGUUAAGUCAGUUGUGAAAUUUUGCGGCUCAACCGUAAAAUUGCAAUUGAUACUGGCAGUCUUGAGUACAGUUGAGGUAGGCGGAAUUCGUGGUGUAGCGGUGAAAUGCUUAGAUAUCACGAAGAACCCCGAUUGCGAAGGCAGCUUACUAAACUGUGACUGACAUUGAUGCUCGAAAGUGUGGGUAUCAAACAGGAUUAGAUACCCGGGUAGUC
This 460-nucleotide ribosomal RNA is filed under the name uncultured bacterium. Its description in RNAcentral is "partial 16S ribosomal RNA". It matches the Rfam family "Bacterial small subunit ribosomal RNA", at positions 338 to 795 of the family's 1533-position model. The record is from RNAcentral.